GUAAAUUGCUGAAGUCCUCUGUGGCAAAGUCCAUGUUUUCCAGUUUCUGCCCUCUUAUUCUCUUUUGAUUGAGGAAAGGGGAGGAGGGUGCACAAUACAGACAGAUUAUGGUUAUCAGGUACUCUGCAUAUGGAGGAGCCAUUUUGGAGACUGAGCAAGGCCGUUGCUACAGUCAGCAAACAAGUGUUUCAUUCCCACUGACAUCGCUGUGGAGAUGCAAGAGGAACACCACAUUCUAAAACUUACUGCAGUUCAUGGAAAAAAAUGGAGCUGGGAAUUUAUAGCAGACCUGGCAAGAAUGAAUGGUGAUGUGGGAUAAACUGAAGGGAUUGUCCUUGGCAAGCUCAAGGUAAGAGCAUACCUGUACUUCCACUUCAGAGAGUAAGUUGAAGUA
Oxyura jamaicensis (ruddy duck) is the source of this 394-nucleotide long non-coding RNA. RefSeq lists it as uncharacterized. The transcript is spliced from 3 exons. Lineage: Eukaryota; Metazoa; Chordata; Aves; Anseriformes; Anatidae. The record is from RefSeq and is a predicted model, not a curated record.